This 253-nucleotide ribosomal RNA is filed under the name uncultured bacterium. RNAcentral describes it as "partial 16S ribosomal RNA". It matches the Rfam family "Bacterial small subunit ribosomal RNA", at positions 524 to 776 of the family's 1533-position model. The record is from RNAcentral.
UACGUAGGUGGCAAGCGUUAUCCGGAAUUACUGGGCGUAAAGCGCACGCAAGCGGUCUUGUAAGUUUGACGUGAAAGCUCCCGGCUUAACUGGGAGAGGUCGUUGAAGACUGCAAGACUUGAGGAAAUGAGAGGGGUGUAGAAUUCCCGGUGUAGUGGUGGAAUGCGUAGAUAUCGGGGGGAAUACCAGUGGCGAAAGCGGCACCCUAGCAUUUUUCUGACGCUCAUGUGCGAAAGCGUGGGGAGCGAACGGG